GAGUUUGAUCAUGGCUCAGGAUGAACGCUAGCGACAGGCUUAACACAUGCAAGUCGAGGGGCAGCGGGGGCGUAGCAAUAUGCCUGCCGGCGACCGGCGCACGGGUGAGUAACACGUAUGUAACCUGCCCUAUGCAGGGGGAUAACCCGGAGAAAUCCGGCCUAAUACCGCGUAACACCUUUUGGGAGCAUUCCCGGGAGGUUAAAGGAGAGAUCCGGCAUAGGAUGGACAUGCGUCGCAUUAGGUAGACGGCGGGGUAACGGCCCACCGUGCCGACGAUGCGUAGGGGUUCUGAGAGGAAGGCCCCCACACUGGUACUGAGACACGGACCAGACUCCUACGGGAGGCAGCAGUGAGGAAUAUUGGUCAAUGGCCGAGAGGCUGAACCAGCCAAGUCGCGUGAGGGAAGAAUGUCCUAAGGAUUGUAAACCUCUUUUGUCGGGGAGCAAAAGGCUCUGCGGAGUCGUAUUGAGAGUACCCGAAGAAAAAGCAUCGGCUAACUCCGUGCCAGCAGCCGCGGUAAUACGGAGGAUGCGAGCGUUAUCCGGAUUUAUUGGGUUUAAAGGGUGCGARGCGGCGUGUCAGCAAGCGG
RNAcentral lists this ribosomal RNA (592 nucleotides) under uncultured bacterium. RNAcentral describes it as "bacterial SSU rRNA". It matches the Rfam family "Bacterial small subunit ribosomal RNA", at positions 9 to 594 of the family's 1533-position model. The record is from RNAcentral.